Molecule: long non-coding RNA, 606 nt
Organism: Mercurialis annua (annual mercury)
Lineage: Eukaryota; Viridiplantae; Streptophyta; Magnoliopsida; Malpighiales; Euphorbiaceae
Exons: 3
Source: RefSeq, a predicted model, not a curated record
ACCCAUUAGCUAUUAAUCAUAAUCUCAUAUUUUUCUUAUCUUCCACCAUAAGCCAUAAAGACCAAACUCUCAUCCUCACCAAGCUCUCAUUGCCGAACCCACCCCCUUCCUCCAUCAUCACCAUUAAUCAACCUCAAGCUAAGGGAUUUUGAAGGAAAAAUCAAUUAAAAAAAUCAAAGAUCCGGCAAGGAACGCAGCUAACGGACAAGGAGCACCUUAAACUAGACGGCAGUUAAUCGAUCGAGGUUUUAGGAGUAGCAAGCGUCUUUCCUUUCAGGUAAAAUGUUUUGAUGUGACGGACUUCUAUCCUUGUUCAGAAGUCCGUAUUUUGGAAGUAUGUAAAUAAGAAGACGUCGAUCGAUAGUGCUGCAGUAGAUGUCAAGUCCUAGUUAUGAAUAUGGCUUUACUGAACGGUUUUAAUAUUUUAUCCAACUCUGAUAUGUAAAUAAAGCUUUAAACUGCGCUUUUAACCGUUUACUAUAUUUUGCAAACCGGGCUAUGCUUGAUGUGUGACAUCGCAUGAUAAGACCCUGGCUUAUCGUACAUCGCUUCGGACGAUGUUACAAGUAUUGUAAAUAUUUCAAGUUUAUGAAAAUGUUUUAUGAA